CCUACGGGUGGCAGCAGUGAGGAAUAUUGGUCAAUGGACGAGAGUCUGAACCAGCCAAGUAGCGUGAAGGAUGACUGCCCUAUGGGUUGUAAACUUCUUUUAUAUGGGAAUAAAAUGUUCCACGUGUGGACUUUUGUAUGUACCAUAUGAAUAAGGAUCGGCUAACUCCGUGCCAGCAGCCGCGGUAAUACGGAGGAUCCGAGCGUUAUCCGGAUUUAUUGGGUUUAAAGGGAGCGUAGGUGGAUUGUUAAGUCAGUUGUGAAAGUUUGCGGCUCAACCGUAAAAUUGCAGUUGAAACUGGCAGUCUAGAGUACAGUAGAGGUGGGCGGAAUUCGUGGUGUAGCGGUGAAAUGCUUAGAUAUGACGAAGAACUCCGAUUGCGAAGGCAGCUCCCUGGACUGCAACUGACACUGAGGCUCGAAAGUGUGGGUAUCAAACAGGAUUAGAUACCCUUGUAGUC
Molecule: ribosomal RNA, 460 nt
Filed under: uncultured bacterium
Lineage: Bacteria
Description: partial 16S ribosomal RNA
Rfam family: Bacterial small subunit ribosomal RNA
Source: RNAcentral